RNAcentral lists this ribosomal RNA (498 nucleotides) under uncultured bacterium. RNAcentral describes it as "partial 16S ribosomal RNA". It matches the Rfam family "Bacterial small subunit ribosomal RNA", at positions 29 to 507 of the family's 1533-position model. The record is from RNAcentral.
ACGAACGCUGGCGGCGUGCUUAACACGUGCAAGUCGAACGGGCCCGCCCCUGUUUUUGGGGGUGGGUUGAGUGGCGAACGGGUGAGUAUCACGUGAGUAACCUGCCCCCUGCUCCUGGAUAACUGCUUGAAAGGGCGGCUAAUACGGGGUGUGCCGGCUGGUCCGCAUGGGCCUGGUCGGGAUAGUUUCAUCUUCGGGUGUUUCGGUGGGGGAUGGGCUCGCGGCCUAUCAGCUUGUUGGUGGGGUGAUGGCCCACCAAGGCGGUGACGGGUAGCCGGCCUGAGAGGGUGGGCGGCCACACUGGGACGGAGACACGGCCCAGACUCCUGCGGGAGGCAGCAGUGGGGGGUAUUGCGCAAUGGGCGGAAGCCUGAUGCAGCGACGUCGCGUGAGGGAUGGAGGCCUUCGGGUUGUGAACCUCUUUCUCCGGUGGUGAAGGCCCUGUCCGUUGCGGCGGGGUUGACGGUAGCCGGGUAUGAAGCGCCGGCUAACUACGUG